AUACUGCAAGGAGUCUAAUUUGUAGGGCAUUUGGAUAAAAUGAAAUGUAAUUCAUCGUGCAUUACACAUCAUGUGCAUUUGUGAUGCAGGUUGAGGAUUGCAAUUAUUCCCCAUAAAUGAGGAAUUCCCAGUAAGUGUGGGGCAUAAACUCACUUCGAUUAAGUCCCUGU
This is a non-coding RNA of Gavia stellata (red-throated loon), 170 nucleotides long. The record is from Rfam. NCBI's taxonomy places the organism in Eukaryota, Metazoa, Chordata, Aves, Gaviiformes, Gaviidae.